This is a long non-coding RNA of Pantherophis guttatus, 609 nucleotides long. RefSeq lists it as uncharacterized. NCBI's taxonomy places the organism in Eukaryota, Metazoa, Chordata, Lepidosauria, Squamata, Colubridae. The record is from RefSeq and is a predicted model, not a curated record.
CAGACUGGAGUUUGACCCUGACGGGCUCAAGAUUGACUCAGCUUCCAUCCUUCCCAAGGUGGAAAGCCACUGGUGGAACAACAAGGUACAUCACCAAAGGCUUCCAGUUAUGAUGCCACUGAAAACUCCAAGGGACAUAUUGAUGGGGAUCUUGAGGGAAAGAAAGGCAGUAUUGAUUCACUGAAAAUCUGCUUGAAAAGUCAUGAACAUUAUUGGAAAUACUGUAUGUUUUCCUCUAUUCAUACCCCCAUCCUCUCCUGCCCCAACAAGGGUAUCUGUUGAAUAAAGAAGAGCAGAAUAAUUACCAAAUGCCUUUUAACUGGAAACUCUUGAAUGUCCAUCUGAAAGAAUCUCUAAUACAUGUUGUGUGAAGACUUGGUUUCUUGGAGAAGUCUAUCUUGCUUGGAAAGCUUGAAGGAAAAAACAGAGUGACCAGAAGUAAGGACUAGAAAAUCUGUCUGGGUAUCCAAGCUUUCAUUUUCUUUUGCUGUCAGGCAAACAAAGCCUGAAGAAUGUUAUAAAUUUGUGCAUGUAUUCCAAAGGAUGACCUGGCUGGCUGCAUUACAAUCUGAAAACUCGCACCUGGAUAAUAAAUGGGUCUGCUGCCAU